RNAcentral lists this long non-coding RNA (522 nucleotides) under Oryctolagus cuniculus (rabbit). Its description in RNAcentral is "lncRNA (ENSOCUG00000030928.1)". The record is from RNAcentral. Lineage: Eukaryota; Metazoa; Chordata; Mammalia; Lagomorpha; Leporidae.
AAUUACCUUCCAGUGGCCUUACCUCCAAAUUCUAUAACAUUGGGGAUUAUGUUUCAACAUAUGAAUUUGGAGGGAAUCCAGACAUUCAGUCCAUAGCAAUCUUCUAAACCCAAAAUAUGACAUGAAUUAUCUGAAUUUAUGAAGUUACAAAGUUGCAAGUAACUCCUCAAAACACUUUAUUUCUAUCUCACAAGGAAAAGAAGAAGAAGAAAGAAAACCUCCAGCUUGAACAGACUAUUUCCCAGUUGGCAUAUUAGAAAUGGCUUCAUUUCUGAGAGAUGACAAAGUUAAUCCUGUUUUGAGUUAUAUUGGAUGAAAAUGGCAUUUUGAGCUUGCUUUGCAUUUACUGAAUAAGCCAUUGAGUCCAACAUUUACUGAGUGCCAUUAAGUGGAAGACACAGUGUUAGACAUUAAGGUUAUAAAGGUAAGUUAAGAAUAAUCAUUUCCAUCAAGAUAUGGAAUGUUUGUUGGGAGCUACAAACAGAGCAGAGCAUUGUAAUUUUCUCUUUUUGUAAAUAUAGG